GGGCUCGUAGGGUAGCGGAUAUCCUAUUGGGCUUCGGACCCAAUGACCCGUGUUCGAAUCGCGGCGAGCCCG
This 72-nucleotide transfer RNA is filed under the name Methanobacteriota archaeon. RNAcentral's name for it is "Euryarchaeota archaeon tRNA-Arg". It matches the Rfam family "tRNA". Rfam says of the family: Transfer RNA (tRNA) molecules are approximately 80 nucleotides in length. Their secondary structure includes four short double-helical elements and three loops (D, anti-codon, and T loops). RNAcentral also lists the same sequence under 3 other names. Lineage: Archaea; Methanobacteriati; Methanobacteriota. The record is from RNAcentral.